This 2590-nucleotide unclassified non-coding RNA is filed under the name Hevea brasiliensis (rubber tree). The record is from RNAcentral. Lineage: Eukaryota; Viridiplantae; Streptophyta; Magnoliopsida; Malpighiales; Euphorbiaceae.
CGCCACUAUUUGAAAAUUUCCAAUCAGAUUCCAUCAUUCUUACAUCAUCUAACCCAACUAAUUAUUUCAAUGAAAAUGGGACGAGAAAGAAGCAUCCGACUCAGUAUAAUUUCAAUUAAAAUAUCCCAAGUAGUUCCUAGGGAUCUCCAUUGAUGAUUCUCAUGUAGAAUUUAAUCCCCAAGUUUCAGAACAUCCAUCAAAAGAGAGUAAUGAACAAGAAAAAAAAAUUCCACAUUUCAUCUUUUUUCUAGUUCAGGAAAAUAUUCCCAAUUGAUUGAUGUUGGAUUGGAAACAAAACACAAGACAAGAGGAAAGAGAUGCCUAUUUCUUCCCAUGAACCUCCAACUCCAUUUUUUGAAGGUUCAGCAGCAAAUCCUCUGAAUUAAGGAAAACCUUGUUGGCAGAAUUUGAGAUUGUCUGAGCAAUUUCUCUUGAAGCUUCUAUCUUCCUAAGUGUGAUAAAUGCAGGAUUGUUUGCUAUAGCCUGGCCUAUCAGCUGGGCACUUGUAGCCUCUCCCUAUCAACCACAGAGGCAGAAAUAAUUUGAUGGGGUUGUGAAUAUGCACGUUAACAAUCAAGAAAAAUCAAUGCAAAUAAACUAAGAAAAAAGAUUCUGCACUCCCCACCCCACUCUAGCCUCUCAAACUAAUUUUCUAUAUAGAAUCUGGUGCCAGGGCCAAGGAUAAACCUGGAAGAUUAAUCUAUAAUUUUGUUUAUUUUCCCAGCAAUGGCUCAUAAUUAAAGUAGAUGUGGACUUAUUUCUUUUCUCACCUCUGCUCUAAUAAUAGCACUUUUCUUGUCUUGUUCAGCUUUUUCUACAAUAAAUUUAGCCCUCUCAGCUUCUUGAGCAGCCACCUGUUUGGCUUCAAUUGCAGCAGUAAAUUCUUUCCCAAAAGUCAGGCUUGUUAUGGACACAUCAUCUAGUGCAAUGUUAAAGUAGGCUGCCCUUUCUGUCAAAAUCUUCCGUAUUUCUCUGCUAACAGCCUCUCUCUGAGUAAUAAGCUGGCUGGCAUUAUACUGUGCAACCACAGCUUUCAAUGUUUCAUGAAUGAUAGAAGGCAGAACUCUUUCAUUAUAGUUUUCACCAAGUGUUCGAUAAAUUGUAGGCAAUUGGCUUGCCACAGGACGAGUAAGAACUCGAAGCCCAAUCUUAACCAUUUGAAGAUCACGACUCCCUGAAGUACUCUCUACCAGAUGGGGCCGUGCACGGACAUCAUAAAUGACUGGGCGUUCAAACCAUGGAAUCAUAAGGUGUGUCCCUUCAGGGUAAACCUUGUCUUUGACACCAACUAUACGGUUGAACACAAUGGCCCGAUGCCCUCCCUCAACAUUGUAGAGACUAUUAGCAGCUGCAUACACAACAAUCCCACCAAUAACACCAAGCUUAAGCAAAGUGGAGGCUGCACCACCGCCUGGCACCUUAGGAACUUUGACCUUGCUGAAAUUCAUUUUUUCCAAAAGCUAAGCAUAUCAUUUUGAUGUUAAUAGAGUAAAAAAUUAAAUGUAAGUACUCAACAAUGAACAUCAAGUAAAAAGUUCAGAAACAAGCUGCAAUAUGAGAACAAGGAUGUGAGAGGAAACAUAAGAUAUUUCAUGAAUAGGUAGGCGUGACCUCUUAGAAAGGAAAAACCAAAUAUGAACAGCACAAAUAUAUUUCUCAUCAAAGUAUGCAUAAAGGCAACUUUAACCAACUUCUGCUAGAAAGUACAAACCCCCACAACUGAAGUCAGCAGAAAUCAUCAUUGAUAGUAAUGAAAUACUAGCUAGCUAGAGGAAAAACAUAUUAAUCUACAAUUGCAACAUGUUACUUGCUAUUGCCUUGAACUUAAUAUCUGUUGAAGCAAGAGGAAUCAAUUUUCCGCCCUCUCUUACUACCUUUUCAAUAACCACUUUAUUUUUAAAAUUUUUCUGGAGGACUUCUAAACAGUCUUUUAAAUUAACACUUUUUUCUCAGCAAUAAGAUAUUUAGGUGUGGAUGAGAUAUGAGAGACUACUAAUCUCUCUCUCUCUUACACAAACACGCACAGAGGAAAUUACAAGCAAACAUUACACAUUUCUUUACCCUACAUAGCAUCAAAAUGCCCUCGACUAAAAAACCAAACAUUUCCUAUUUGCCUAUUAACCUUCCAGUAGUCAUAAAAAUUACUCUAGAAUACAACAAUAAAAGAAAAACAAUCUUGAAUACAUUUCUUCUAGGCAUACACCAACGAACAAACUGAACGGAAUUACAGAAAUAAAGGGCAUACUCUGUGACACAAACAAAAAUUCAACCAAAUAUUUCUCACAAUAAAAUAUAAGUAAAUUGAUUAAAGAUGAUCCCUAUUUGGAUGCUAAGAUAAGUGAAGCAAAACACUUAUAUAUAUCUCUAUUGUUUCAGAAUCCAUUAAAUGAAAAGAACCCAACUCAAUUAAGCCAGGAAACCAAAAUCUUAGCCCCAAAAUAUUGAUUUCUCCCCUUCCCCAAAAAGAACUUUCUCGGGCAUCAAACAGAAGAUAACAUCAUGAACAAAAUUUUAAAAAGAAAAUGAGAAAAGCAAAAUACAAGGAGGGAAAGAAACAUCUGUGCACACCUUGUAGCCUUCCACUCGAUAG